RNAcentral lists this ribosomal RNA (505 nucleotides) under uncultured bacterium. RNAcentral describes it as "partial 16S ribosomal RNA". It matches the Rfam family "Bacterial small subunit ribosomal RNA", at positions 29 to 522 of the family's 1533-position model. The record is from RNAcentral.
AUUGAACGCUGGCGGCAGGCCUAACACAUGCAAGUCGGACGGUAGCACAGAGGAGCUUGCUCCUCGGGUGACGAGUGGCGGACGGGUGAGUAAUGUCUGGGGAUCUGCCCGAUAGAGGGGGAUAACCACUGGAAACGGUGGUAAAUCCCGCAUAACGCAGCAAGACCAAAGAGGGGGACCUUCGGGCCUCUAACUACCGGAAAAACCCAGAUGGGAUUAGCUAGUAGGCGGGGUAACGGCCCACCUAGGCGACGAUCCCUAGCUGGUCUGAGAGGAUGACCAGCCACACUGGAACUGAGACACGGUCCAGACUCCUACGGGAGGCAGCAGUGGGGAAUAUUGCACAAUGGGCGCAAGCCUGAUGCAGCCAUGCCGCGUGUAUGAAGAAGGCCUUCGGGUUGUAAAGUACUUUCAGCGGGGAGGAAGGCGAUGUGGUUAAUAACCGCGUCGAUUGACGUUACCCGCAGAAGAAGCACCGGCUAACUCCGUGCCAGCAGCCGCGUAA